GAUGAAGAACGUAGCGAAAUGCGAUACGUAAUGUGAAUUGCAAAUUCAGUGAAUCAUCGAAUCUUUGAACGCACAUUGCGCCCGCCAGCACUCUGGCGGGCAUGCCUGUUCGAGCGUCAUUUCAACCAUCAAGCCCCCAGGGGCUUGUGCUGGGGCCCUGCGGCUGCCCGCAGGCCCUGAAAACCAGUGGCGGGCUCGCUAGUCACACCGAGCGCAGUAGCACAUCUCGCUCAGGGCGUGCGGCGGGCUCCUGCCGUGAAACCCCCCACUGUAACCCCAAAGGUUGACCUCGGAUCAGGUAGGAAUACCCGCUGAACUUAAGCAUAUCAAUAAGCGGAGGA
This 341-nucleotide unclassified non-coding RNA is filed under the name soil metagenome. RNAcentral describes it as "partial contains 5.8S ribosomal RNA, internal transcribed spacer 2, and large subunit ribosomal RNA". The stretch from base 1 to 119 matches the Rfam family "5.8S ribosomal RNA", at positions 35 to 154 of the family's 154-position model. The record is from RNAcentral.